This 135-nucleotide ribosomal RNA is filed under the name Oryzias melastigma (Indian medaka). Lineage: Eukaryota; Metazoa; Chordata; Actinopteri; Beloniformes; Adrianichthyidae. The record is from RNAcentral.
GCUUAUGUGAUAAACAAACAAGAAAUACUGCAACCUUGAACACGUCCAAUCUUGUCUGAUCUGGGAAGAUAAGUAUUUGACUGCUGGUCAGUUCUUGGAAAUGAGACUGCCUGGGACAAACAGGUACUCUAAGGU